GGCUCCGCCUUGUCGCGCACAGGUAAACAACCGCUGUUCUCUAAUUACAAUUACAAUUUUAUAAUUUAAUGUGUGGCUUUAUUGUAGUGCCACCGCUCCUAGAGUCUCGACGUGCCUGAUCGAAGUUAUGGCUCGUGAGUAAAGCUCCUGCAUGUAUUUGCUGUUGAUCGCCACAAGCGCCACUGUUAGCCGCUGUCCACGGUUGGGUCGGUGUUGCUGUCAGAUGCCCCGGCCGCUCGGCGUCAAGCCUCGUGGAUGUAGAAGCGUGUGUUUUGUGGGUCCAGGGUGGUCUUCGGCACGUCAUCUGGUGGAGCGGUGGCCCUGUGAACGAGCUGCUGCUUUGUUUUACUGUGUUUUUAAUUUUAAGGACAAAAUCACCGUACAGCUGCUUUUGGUGACUGUGUUAUCGGCAGUUAUGUGAACAGUGAAUAGUCUACUCUUAAAGUUAAUCUAACAAAUGAAUUAUGGCAAUAAUAAAUAAUUUCAUGUUUUGUAAGUCACUUGUCUCUGUCUGUCAAUUAACGAACCUGUGAGCCUUUUAGUUUAGUAAAUUUAGUUUUAGUUCUGGGCUACGCCCAGUGGCGUUGUUGGUUUUAUGUUGAUUAUCUUACUUUGGGGUGCUCCUCACACCCCUCCCGGAUGCCCCGCUCGCCACACUUGGCGUUGUCGGCAGGAUAAUUGAUUAUGUACAGAGACAUGUGCUUUCAUUUUUAUUUAUUUUUUUAUGAUGCUGUCUGUUUGCAUUAAGUGGAGCGUAGUAGCCAGGUUAAAAUUCCCCAUGUACCAGGUUUAACCUGUCCAACUUUGUAUUGUGCAAACUUCAUUUGUUUCAUGUAUACAUUGGUUUGCUGUGUGAUUUUGUUUUUUACUUUGUGUUUAUUUUAAAUUGUUGUAUAUAUACAUAGUUUCAGAAGUUGACCAAGCAGUAGCAAGGCAUGGUUUACCUGUAGGGAAAUUACUUGAUGCUACCCGUAAUUCUACUUAAAUGUUAAAGCUGAUCUGCAUUGUGAAUUGUUUGGCUAUCUUGAAUGUAUUGGUCUGUUUGUUUUUUUUGUAUUGUGAAGGCAAAGCAGCAGUUGGGGAGGGCAUUUGGAAAAUGGAGUGAGUGUCCGGCGUGGGGUGCUCGAGGUCACAGCAUCAGUCCCAGAGAAUGUGUGGUACCAGGAGCCUACAGUGGAUGGCUCAUACCGCCCAGGUAACUAGAUUGCUGUGAGAUGUUAGGGGCCGCUUGAAUAGCCGUUCCGUUUUGUUUACCUAUGACAGCGUAGGGGCGCAGUAGUUUCCGCUGAAAGCUCAUUGGUUGUCAGUCUCGGUACCGCAGUUUUCGUGGGUUGUCGUAAACGUUAGCCGUCAGUAGCUUCAUCGCACUGGCCGUAGCCUUCAGGGCCCUCCAUCUGCGUGAGAGGAGUUGAGUACAGCUGAGCGAGCUGGUUUUAAUUCUGCAGGUACAGGUGUGUAACUGUGGUAAGGGCCGUGUCCUGUUCGUUCUGGACUGAGUUUAGGUAACAUUUUAAACAGAAAUGUGUUUUAAGAGCACUUAUUUAUGUUCUGCAAGUUCUUUGUGUGCGUCAAUCGUCGGGACGACGAUUCAAAAGGGAGGGGUAUAAUGUAGCAGUGCGCGCCUGCUGCCUUCUGCCACCAGGUGGCGCCUGGGCUUAUAAAAGGGCACUCCCCGUAGCGUCUCGUUCUCUGACCUCGGCGCACUUCCGGGAUAGGGCUCCGCCUUGUCGCGCACAGUGCCACCGCUCCUAGAGUCUCGACGUGCCUGAUCGAAGUUAUGGCUCGUGAGUAAAGCUCCUGCAUGUAUUUGCUGUUGAUCGCCACAAGCGCCACUGUUAGCCGCUGUCCACGGUUGGGUCGGUGUUGCUGUCAGAUGCCCCGGCCGCUCGGCGUCAAGCCUCGUGGAUGUAGAAGCGUGUGUUUUGUGGGUCCAGGGUGGUCUUCGGCACGUCAUCUGGUGGAGCGGUGGCCCUGUGAACGAGCUGCUGCUUUGUUUUACUGUGUUUUUUUAAUUUUAAGGACAAAAUCACCGUACCGCUGCUUUUGGUGACUGUGUUAUCGGCAGUUAUGUGAACAGUGAAUAGUCUACUCUUAAAGUUAAUCUAACAAAUGAAUUAUGGCAAUAAUAAAUAAUUUCAUGUUUUGUAAGUCACUUGUCUCUGUCU
Long non-coding RNA from Boleophthalmus pectinirostris (great blue-spotted mudskipper), 2165 nucleotides. RefSeq lists it as uncharacterized. The transcript is spliced from 4 exons. Lineage: Eukaryota; Metazoa; Chordata; Actinopteri; Gobiiformes; Gobiidae. The record is from RefSeq and is a predicted model, not a curated record.